GAUGAACGCUGGCGGCGUGCUUAACACAUGCAAGUCGAACGAAGCACCUUGAUUUGAUUCUUCGGAUGAAGAUCCUGGUGACUGAGUGGCGGACGGGUGAGUAACGCGUGGGUAACCUGCCUCAUACAGGGGGAUAACAGUUAGAAAUGACUGCUAAUACCGCAUAAGACCACAGCACCGCAUGGUGCAGGGGUAAAAACUCCGGUGGUAUGAGAUGGACCCGCGUCUGAUUAGGUAGUUGGUGGGGUAACGGCCUACCAAGCCAACGAUCAGUAGCCGACCUGAGAGGGUGACCGGCCACAUUGGGACUGAGACACGGCCCAAACUCCUACGGGAGGCAGCAGUGGGGAAUAUUGCACAAUGGGGGAAACCCUGAUGCAGCGACGCCGCGUGAGCGAUGAAGUAUUUCGGUAUGUAAAGCUCUAUCAGCAGGGAAGAAAAUGACGGUACCUGACUAAGAAGCACCGGCUAAAUACGUGCCAGCAGCCGCGGUAAUACGUAUGGUGCAAGCGUUAUCCGGAUUUACUGGGUGUAAAGGGAGCGUAGACGGAGUGGCAAGUCUGAUGUGAAAACCCGGGGCUCAACCCCGGGACUGCAUUGGAAACUGUCAAUCUGGAGUACCGGAGAGGUAAGCGGAAUUCCUAGUGUAGCGGUGAAAUGCGUAGAUAUUAGGAGGAACACCAGUGGCGAAGGCGGCUUACUGGACGGUAACUGACGUUGAGGCUCGAAAGCGUGGGGAGCAAACAGGAUUAGAUACCCUGGUAGUCCACGCCGUAAACGA
This 781-nucleotide ribosomal RNA is filed under the name uncultured bacterium. RNAcentral describes it as "bacterial SSU rRNA". It matches the Rfam family "Bacterial small subunit ribosomal RNA", at positions 28 to 809 of the family's 1533-position model. The record is from RNAcentral.